Oncorhynchus keta (chum salmon) is the source of this 2564-nucleotide long non-coding RNA. RefSeq lists it as uncharacterized. The transcript is spliced from 5 exons. Lineage: Eukaryota; Metazoa; Chordata; Actinopteri; Salmoniformes; Salmonidae. The record is from RefSeq and is a predicted model, not a curated record.
CCUGCACCCUGUCAGGAACAUGAAGCACAAGUCCAAUGUCCUCUGUGAAGAAGAUUUCAGCUCCGGUGUCCAUCUGUAGGGUAGAGGUUUAUGGGCUCUAUCUCCACUAUUAGAGGUUUAUGGGCUCUAUCUCCACAAUUAGAGGUUUAUGGGCUCUAACUCCAGUAUUAGAGGUUUGUGGGCUCUAGCUCCACUAUUACAGGUUUAUGGGCUCUAGCUCCACUAUUACAGGUUUAUGGGCUCUAGCUCCACUAUUAGAGGUUUAUGGGCUCUAGCUCCACUAUUAGAGGUUUAUGGGCUCUCGCUCCAGUAUUAGAGGUUUGUGGGCUCUAACUCCAGUAUUAGAGGUUUGUGGGCUCUAACUCCAGUAUUAGAGGUUUGUGGGCUCUAACUCCAGUAUUAGAGGUUUGUGGGCUCUAACUCCAGUAUUAGAGGUUUGUGGGCUCUAACUCCAGUAUUAGAGGUUUGUGGGCUCUAACUCCAGUAUUAGAGGUUUGUGGGCUCUAACUCCAGUAUUAGAGGUUUGUGGGCUCUAGCUCCACUAUUAGAGGUUUGUGGGCUCUAGCUCCACUAUUAGAGGUUUGUGGGCUCUAGUUCCACCAUACAUGACAACAACAGCAGGUCUCUCUGUCCUGUAGCCCGAGGACAACAGCAGUAGGUCUGUCUGUCCUGUAGCCCGAGGACAACAGCAGUAGGUCUGUCUGUCCUGUAGCCCGAGGACAACAGCAGUAGGUCUGUCUGUCCUGUAGCCCGAGGACAACAGCAGUAGGUCUGUCUGUCCUGUAGCCCGAGGACAACAGCAGUAGGUCUGUCUGUCCUGUAGCCCGAGGACAACAGCAGUAGGUCUGUCUGUCCUGUAGCCCGAGGACAACAGCAGUAGGUCUGUCUGUCCUGUAGCCCGAGGACAACAGCAGUAGGUCUGUCUGUCCUGUAGCCCGAGGACAACAGCAGUAGGUCUGUCUGUCCUGUAGCCCGAGGACAACAGCAGUAGGUCUGUCUGUCCUGUAGCCCGAGGACAACAGCAGUAGGUCUGUCUGUCCUGUAGCCCGAGGACAACAGCAGUAGGUCUGUCUGUCCUGUAGCCCGAGGACAACAGCAGUAGGUCUGUCUGUCCUGUAGCCCGAGGACAACAGCAGUAGGUCUGUCUGUCCUGUAGCCCGAGGACAACAGCAGUAGGUCUGUCUGUCCUGUAGCCCGAGGACAACAGCAGUAGGUCUGUCUGUCCUGUAGCCCGAGGACAACAGCAGUAGGUCUCUCUGUCCUGUAGCCCGAGGACAACAUCAGUAGGUCUGUCUGUUCUGUAGCCUGAGGACAACAGCAGUAGGUCUGGCAGCUAGCCCCAAAUCUUCCUGGGAUAGCUUAGCAUACUAUACUCUGCAAAACAUUAGCGGAGCAGUGAUGUAGUUAGCAUGUAGCCUGCUCUUUUAAAUCGAGAUGUAUUUGUAGGUGUUUGUAGGUGUAUUUGUAGAUGUAUUUGUAGAUGUAUUUGUAGAUGUAUUUGUAGAUGUAUUUGUAGGUGUAUUUGUAGAUGUAUUUGUAGGUGUAUUUGUAGAUGUAUUUGUAGGUGUUUGUAGAUGUAUUUGUAGGUGUUUGUAGAUGUAUUUGUAGGUGUGUUUGUAGAUGUGUUUGUAGAUGUAUUUGUAGAUGUAUUUGUAGAUGUAUUUGUAGAUGUAUUUGUAGAUGUAUUUGUAGGUGUUUGUAGAUGUAUUUGUAGAUGUGUUUGUAGAUGUGUUUGUAGAUGUGUUUGUAGAUGUAUUUGUAGGUGUUUGUAGAUGUAUUUGUAGAUGUGUUUGUAGAUGUAUUUGUAGGUGUUUGUAGAUGUAUUUGUAGAUGUGUUUGUAGAUGUGUUUGUAGAUGUAUUUGUAGGUGUAUUUGUAGGUGUUUGUAGAUGUAUUUGUAGGUGUUUGUAGAUGUAUUUGUAGAUGUGUUUGUAGAUGUAUUUGUAGAUGUGUUUGUAGAUGUAUUUGUAGAUGUGUUUGUAGAUGUAUUUGUAGAUGUGUUUGUAGAUGUAUUUGUAGGUGUUUGUAGAUGUAUUUGUAGAUGUGUUUGCAGAUGUGUUUGUAGAUGUAUUUGUAGGUGUUUGUAGAUGUAUUUGUAGAUGUGUUUGUAGAUGUAUUUGUAGGUGUAUUUGUAGGUAUCCUGCAUCGUCACAUUUUGAAAAGGGAGAUUUGAUUUCAAGGUAUCAUUAAUAUGAUUUUGAUAGGCUCAGCAUUAUGAAUUGCACCUGAAAAUGCAAGCGCUUUUAUAUGAGUAAACACAUGUCAUACUGUACAUUGUGUAAUAACUUUCCCUCAAAAUACUCUUGAUUUUCAUAUGGGUAAUCAGCACCUCUCCUUCCCACUGAAAUGUUGAAAUGCAACAUCACACCCUGGGAUACUACAGAUGUAUUAGUCAGUGAUUCCCAGAUAGACAGUUGAAGUGGGAAGUUUACAUACACUUAGGUUGUAGUCAUUAAAACUCUUUUUUUUUUUUCAACCACUCCACAUUUACAUUUAAGUCAUUUAGCAGACGCUCUUAUCCAGAGCGACUUACAAAUUGGUGCAUACACCUUAUGACAUCCAGUG